Molecule: non-coding RNA, 81 nt
Organism: Clathrospora elynae
Lineage: Eukaryota; Fungi; Ascomycota; Dothideomycetes; Pleosporales; Diademaceae
Source: the annotation of a GenBank genome assembly
GUCUCGGUGGCGCAAUGGUAGCGCGUUGGACUUCUACUCUUUGUUAUCCAAAGGCUGCGGGUUCGAGCCCCGCCCGAGAUG